GGGUCAGUAGGUUGGUCGUGCCACCGGUACGUACUGGUCUCACUGACUCCUCCUUCCUGAGGAACCGUAAUGCCAUUAAUUUGGUGUUGCGGGGAAACAGGACUGUUACUUUGAAAAAAUUAGAGUGUUUAAAGCAAGCUAACGCUUGAAUACAUUAGCAUGGAAUAAUGAAAUAGGACGAUCGAUCCUAUUUUGUUGGUUUCUAGGAUUGACGUA
RNAcentral lists this ribosomal RNA (216 nucleotides) under Glomeromycotina sp. RNAcentral describes it as "partial small subunit ribosomal RNA". The stretch from base 75 to 216 matches the Rfam family "Eukaryotic small subunit ribosomal RNA", at positions 721 to 864 of the family's 1831-position model. Lineage: Eukaryota; Fungi; Glomeromycota. The record is from RNAcentral.